GUGAACCAGGCCAACCUUCAGCUCUUCUGGAACAUGUACAAUAGGUAUGGGUAUGAACAGAGCGGGUUCAGGACACGAUGGUUUACCAGUCGACAGUGUUGGGAUCCGCCCCUGGGAUACCCUCUUUACCUUCGCCCCUCCCCUACAGCCGCAGAGAUCUUGACAUUAACCGGCCUGGGACAGUGCCCAAUGCCAAGACACUCCGGUGAGUGACUCCUGCCCUCCGGCCAGUCCCUCCCUGCCUUUGCCCCAGACCCAGGCCAGACCCUUGUCCUCUGUCUCCUAGCUGCCCAGUGAUGCUGGUGGUCGGUGACAAUGCACCUGCUGAGGACGGGGUGGUUGAGUGUAACUCCAAACUGGACCCAACCACUACAACCUUCCUGAAGAUGGCAGACUCUGGUGGUCUUCCUCAGGUGACCCAGCCAGGGAAGCUGACU
This 437-nucleotide long non-coding RNA is filed under the name Rattus norvegicus (Norway rat). RNAcentral describes it as "long non-coding RNA NONRATT014444". The record is from RNAcentral. Lineage: Eukaryota; Metazoa; Chordata; Mammalia; Rodentia; Muridae.